Molecule: small nucleolar RNA, 125 nt
Organism: Marmota marmota marmota (Alpine marmot)
Lineage: Eukaryota; Metazoa; Chordata; Mammalia; Rodentia; Sciuridae
Source: Ensembl
AAUCUUUUGGACUUACCACACACAGGCUUGUUCUUACACUGACUGUAUAGAAAGAAGAGGCCUAAACCACAUACACCUCAGCCCAGGCCCUGUGCCUGGUCUGUAUUGUCAAAAGGGAAAUAUGG